AUUUCUAAUGGGCGAAAGCCUGAAGGAGCGACGCCGCGUGGGGGAUGAAUGGCUUCGGCCCGUAAACCCCUGUCAUUUGCGAACAAGUUGUUUCACCCAACACGUGAAGCAUUGAUUGUAGCGGAAGAGGAAGGGACGGCUAACUCUGUGCCAGCAGCCGCGGUAAUACAGAGGUCCCAAGCGUUGUUCGGAUUCACUGGGCGUAAAGGGUGCGUAGGCGGCCAAGUAAGUUUGAUGUGAAAUCCCGCAGCUCAACUGCGGAACUGCAUUGAAUACUAUUUGGCUCGAGGAAUGGAGGGGAGACUGGAAUUCUCGGUGUAGCAGUGAAAUGCGUAGAUAUCGAGAGGAACACCAGUGGCGAAGGCGAGUCUCUGGACAUUUCCUGACGCUCAGGCACGAAAGCCAGGGGAGCAAACGGGAUUAGAUACCCCGGUAGUCCUGGCCUUAAACGGUGCGCAUUUGCUGUGAGCGGAAUCGACCCCGCUCGUGGCGAAGCUAACGCGUUAAAUGCGCCGCCUGGGAAGUACGGCCGCAAGGUUAAAACUCAAAAAAAUUGACGGA
This 561-nucleotide ribosomal RNA is filed under the name uncultured bacterium. Its description in RNAcentral is "bacterial SSU rRNA". It matches the Rfam family "Bacterial small subunit ribosomal RNA", at positions 363 to 917 of the family's 1533-position model. The record is from RNAcentral.